GGAUUGUGGCUCAGCGGUAGAGCACUCACCUAGCACAUGCGGGGCCCUGGGUUCGAUCCUCAGCACCA
Molecule: transfer RNA, 68 nt
Filed under: Marmota monax (woodchuck)
Lineage: Eukaryota; Metazoa; Chordata; Mammalia; Rodentia; Sciuridae
Description: tRNA.Ala
Source: RNAcentral